UACGGGGGGGGCAAGCGUUGUUCGGAAUUACUGGGCGUAAAGGGCUCGUAGGCGGCCAACUAAGUCGGACGUGAAAUCCCUCGGCUUAACCGGGGAACUGCGUCCGAUACUGGCGGGCUUGAGUUUGGGAGAGGGAUGCGGAAUUCCAGGUGUAGCGGUGAAAUGCGUAGAUAUCUGGAGGAACACCGGUGGCGAAGGCGGCAUCCUGGACCAACACUGACGCUGAGGAGCGAAAGCCAGGGGAGCAAACGGG
RNAcentral lists this ribosomal RNA (253 nucleotides) under uncultured bacterium. RNAcentral describes it as "partial 16S ribosomal RNA". It matches the Rfam family "Bacterial small subunit ribosomal RNA", at positions 524 to 776 of the family's 1533-position model. The record is from RNAcentral.